CCGGUAAACGGCGGCCGUAACUAUAACGGUCCUAAGGUAGCGAAAUUCCUUGUCGGGUAAGUUCCGACCUGCACGAAUGGCGUAAUGAUGGCCAGGCUGUCUCCACCCGAGACUCAGUGAAAUUGAACUCGCUGUGAAGAUGCAGUGUACCCGCGGCAAGACGGAAAGACCCCGUGAACCUUUACUAUAGCUUGACACUGAACAUUGAGCCUUGAUGUGUAGGAUAGGUGGGAGGCUUAGAAGUGUGGACGCCAGUCUGCAUGGAGCCGACCUUGAAAUACCACCCUUUAAUGUUUGAUGUUCUAACGUUGACCCGUAAUCCGGGUUGCGGACAGUGUCUGGUGGGUAGUUUGACUGGGGCGGUCUCCUCCUAAAGAGUAACGGAGGAGCACGAAGGUUGGCUAAUCCUGGUCGGACAUCAGGAGGUUAGUGCAAUGGCAUAAGCCAGCUUGACUGCGAGCGUGACGGCGCGAGCAGGUGCGAAAGCAGGUCAUAGUGAUCCGGUGGUUCUGAAUGGAAGGGCCAUCGCUCAACGGAUAAAAGGUACUCCGGGGAUAACAGGCUGAUACCGCCCAAGAGUUCAUAUCGACGGCGGUGUUUGGCACCUCGAUGUCGGCUCAUCACAUCCUGGGGCUGAAGUAGGUCCCAAGGGUAUGGCUGUUCGCCAUUUAAAGUGGUACGCGAGCUGGGUUUAGAACGUCGUGAGACAGUUCGGUCCCUAUCUGCCGUGGGCGCUGGAGAACUGAGGGGGGCUGCUCCUAGUACGAGAGGACCGGAGUGGACGCAUCACUGGUGUUCGGGUUGUCAUGCCAAUGGCACUGCCCGGUAGCUAAAUGCGGAAGAGAUAAGUGCUGAAAGCAUCUAAGCACGAAACUUGCCCCGAGAUGAGUUCUCCCUGACUCCUUGAG
RNAcentral lists this ribosomal RNA (908 nucleotides) under Escherichia coli. RNAcentral describes it as "partial 23S ribosomal RNA". It matches the Rfam family "Bacterial large subunit ribosomal RNA", at positions 1920 to 2825 of the family's 2925-position model. Lineage: Bacteria; Pseudomonadati; Pseudomonadota; Gammaproteobacteria; Enterobacterales; Enterobacteriaceae. The record is from RNAcentral.